GACGAACGCUGGCGGCGUGUUUAACACAUGCAAGUCGAACGGAAAGGCCCUGCUUUUGUGGGGUGCUCGAGUGGCGAACGGGUGAGUAACACGUGAGUAACCUGCCCUUGACUUUGGGAUAACUUCAGGAAACUGGGGCUAAUACCGGAUAGGAGCUCCUGCUGCAUGGUGGGGGUUGGAAAGUUUCGGCGGUUGGGGAUGGACUCGCGGCUUAUCAGCUUGUUGGUGGGGUAGUGGCUUACCAAGGCUUUGACGGGUAGCCGGCCUGAGAGGGUGACCGGCCACAUUGGGACUGAGAUACGGCCCAGACUCCUACGGGAGGCAGCAGUGGUGAAUAUUGCACAAUGGGCGGAAGCCUGAUGCAGCAACGCCGCGUGCGGGAUGACGGCCUUCGGGUUGUAAACCGCUUUCGCCUGUGACGAAGCGUGAGUGACGGUAAUGGGUAAAGAAGCACCGGCUAACUACGUG
RNAcentral lists this ribosomal RNA (468 nucleotides) under uncultured bacterium. RNAcentral's name for it is "partial 16S ribosomal RNA". It matches the Rfam family "Bacterial small subunit ribosomal RNA", at positions 28 to 507 of the family's 1533-position model. The record is from RNAcentral.